UGGGGAAUUUUGGACAAUGGGCGAAAGCCUGAUCCAGCAAUGCCGCGUGUGUGAAAAGGCCUUCGGGUUGUAAAGCACUUUUGUCCGGAAAGAAAUCCUUGGCUCUAAUACAGUCGGGGGAUGACGGUACCGGAAGAAUAAGCACCGGCUAACUACGUGCCAGCAGCCGCGGUAAUACGUAGGGUGCAAGCGUUAAUCGGAAUUACUGGGCGUAAAGCGUGCGCAGGCGGUUUGCUAAGACCGAUGUGAAAUCCCCGGGCUCAACCUGGGAACUGCAUUGGUGACUGGCAGGCUAGAGUAUGGCAGAGGGGGGUAGAAUUCCACGUGUAGCAGUGAAAUGCGUAGAGAUGUGGAGGAAUACCGAUGGCGAAGGCAGCCCCCUGGGCCAAUACUGACGCUCAUGCACGAAAGCGUGGGGAGCAAACAGGAUUAGAUACCCUGGUAGUCCACGCCCUAAACGAUGUCAACUAGUUGUUGGGGAUUCAUUUCCUUAGUAACGUAGCUAACGCGUGAAGUUGACCGCCUGGGGAGUACGGUCGCAAGAUUAAAACUCAAAUGAAUUGACGGGGUCAUAGCUGUUUCCU
This 584-nucleotide ribosomal RNA is filed under the name uncultured bacterium. Its description in RNAcentral is "partial 16S ribosomal RNA". It matches the Rfam family "Bacterial small subunit ribosomal RNA", at positions 355 to 1375 of the family's 1533-position model. The record is from RNAcentral.